Long non-coding RNA from Sinocyclocheilus anshuiensis, 728 nucleotides. RefSeq lists it as uncharacterized. The transcript is spliced from 4 exons. The record is from RefSeq and is a predicted model, not a curated record. Lineage: Eukaryota; Metazoa; Chordata; Actinopteri; Cypriniformes; Cyprinidae.
UGUUUUUCAGCGAGGAAUGAAACUGCAGCGACUCCAGACUCAGAUCUCCUGAAUGAAGUGACUCCAGAUCUCCAGCAUUCAGUAGAUCAGCUCUGGUGGCUUUUGGCUGUUUUCAUCAUUGUUCUUCUCAUCAUCUUCUUGAUCUGUUUGUUGAAGCGUAAAAGGGUCUUCAGGUGAGUCCUGAUCAAUCUUAAAGAAUCAUUCCAUUCGUUAAAUCUCACUCUAUAUUUCAUCAUGAAUCACAUUUCCCUUUAUCUUCAGAUUACUGAACCUAUCAGUCCGAAUAAACUCAAACUCUGUGCUGGAUGUGAUAAUAUGUAAUAAUCAGAUUCAAUCUGUUGUCAGAUGUUUUCAGGGGUUCAUCUGUCAGCGUGACGAUGAUGAUGCAGAAAACAGGGAUCUUGAAGCUGUUGUCCAAAUGAAGCUCAGAUCGGAUGCUCCUGAUUCACUGAAUCAGUCUGAAUCUGAACUAAACGGCUCCUUGUCCAGAGGGUGAUGGGUUUGAAUCGACUCAUUAUUUACUCAAACUCAGGGCUUAACGUUACUGUGAUCUUUGACAUGAUGAUGAAGGGAUUUUGUGUUCGUUCUGAGCUUCUCGACACAUUUAUUCUCAUUCAUCUGCAUCUGUAAUGCAAAUAAAUACACGAGAUGGAAAACACUGGAAGAUCAAUUCAACCAGAUUUUGACAAGUUACCACAAGUGUUGUUUUAUUUAUUUUGUUCAUCAUU